CAGUCGCCGCGGGAAUACGUAGGGUGCGAGCGUUAAUCGGAAUUACUGGGCGUAAAGCGAGCGCAGACGGUUAUUUAAGCAGGAUGUGAAAUCCCCGGGCUUAACCUGGGAACUGCGUUCUGAACUGGAUAGCUAGAGUGUGUCAGAGGGGGGUAGAAUUCCACGUGUAGCAGUGAAAUGCGUAGAGAUGUGGAGGAAUACCGAUGGCGAAGGCAGCCUCCUGGGAUAACACUGACGUUCAUGCCCGAAAGCGUGGGUAGCAAACAGGAUUAGAUACCCCUGUAGUCCCUGUCUCUUAUAC
RNAcentral lists this ribosomal RNA (301 nucleotides) under uncultured bacterium. RNAcentral's name for it is "partial 16S ribosomal RNA". It matches the Rfam family "Bacterial small subunit ribosomal RNA", at positions 509 to 807 of the family's 1533-position model. The record is from RNAcentral.